Molecule: ribosomal RNA, 429 nt
Filed under: Actinomycetes bacterium
Lineage: Bacteria; Bacillati; Actinomycetota; Actinomycetes
Description: Actinobacteria bacterium partial 16S ribosomal RNA
Rfam family: Bacterial small subunit ribosomal RNA
Source: RNAcentral
UAGGGAAUCUUCCGCAAUGGGCGAAAGCCUGACGGAGCAACGCCGCGUGAGUGAUGAAGGCCUUCGGAUCGUAAAACUCUGUUAUUAGGGAAGAACAAAUGUGUAAGUAACUAUGCACGUCUUGACGGUACCUAAUCAGAAAGCCACGGCUAACUACGUGCCAGCAGCCGCGGUAAUACGUAGGUGGCAAGCGUUAUCCGGAAUUAUUGGGCGUAAAGCGCGCGUAGGCGGUUUUUUAAGUCUGAUGUGAAAGCCCACGGCUCAACCGUGGGGGGUCAUUGGAAACUGGAAAACUUGAGUGCAGAAGAGGAAAGUGGAAUUCCAUGUGUAGCGGUGAAAUGCGCAGAGAUAUGGAGGAACACCAGUGGCGAAGGCGACUUUCUGGUCUGUAACUGACGCUGAUGUGCGAAAGCGUGGGGAUCAAACCGG